CACACACCAGUUCUCGUACGAUCACCGAAGUUAAGCAAAGCCGAGCCUGGUCAGGGCUUAGAUGGGUGGCCUCUUGGGAGUCCCAGGUACUGUAAG
Molecule: non-coding RNA, 96 nt
Organism: Acanthosepion pharaonis
Lineage: Eukaryota; Metazoa; Mollusca; Cephalopoda; Sepiida; Sepiidae
Source: the annotation of a GenBank genome assembly